UUGGGAUCAAGGCAACCUGCGCGAAAGCGCAAGGGCGCAAAGCUACAGGGGCUAAUCGGCGGGAUGGACCGGACCUCCGCAAUUCGGGCGGACGGGCGGUUCGCGCCGGAUGCCAGCCAGCUGCCGAA
This 128-nucleotide non-coding RNA is filed under the name Thermobacillus composti. RNAcentral describes it as "c-di-GMP sequence". It matches the Rfam family "c-di-GMP-I riboswitch aptamer". From Rfam's summary of the family: GEMM was predicted in a large-scale screen for bacterial structured RNA regulatory elements. Genes associated with GEMM are involved in a diverse array of functions, including chemotaxis regulation, signal transduction, secretion and chitin. The record is from RNAcentral. Lineage: Bacteria; Bacillati; Bacillota; Bacilli; Caryophanales; Paenibacillaceae. RNAcentral also lists the same sequence under 1 other name.